CCUGCCUCAGCCUCCCAAGUGCUGGGAUUACAGGAUCUCAUGAAGUUACCUAGGAUAGCCUCAAAUUUGCAUUCCUCCAGCCUCAGCCUUCUCAAGUACUGGGAUUACAGGCUUUGCAAGAAAAGAGAGUGAUGCCCCUGCAAGAAGAGAGGAUUUGGCUUGCAGAUGGCUUCUGGACUUGAGAUACAGCAUCACCCUCCUGCGGGCCUUCAGUAUACUGGCCCAUGCUACAGACUUUGGACUCACUGUUUCAUAUACAUGAGCCGAUUUCUUAAAAUCCCCUGUCUCCCUCUCCUUAUAUAUAUAUCACCAACAGACACAGAUACACAGACACACACACACACACACACUGCCCACCUCUACAUGCAUCCCUGUUUGCUCUCUUUGUCUGGAGAACCCUGACUAACACUCCAUAUAUAUUUGCUGACUAUAUUGCAUGAAUGAAGUAUGGGAGCUCAGAAGGGAAUGGCUGUACCAUAUUUUUAGGGAUGACAUUCUAGACACUAGGGCUCCCAAGAAAAUUUUCAUAGCUUAGAGCAACCUGGCUUUAAGGCACCACGGGGCAUAGGCUUGGAAGGAGUGAAGAUGAACAUGACAGACUUGAAGUAGAGGUUCUUUCCCCUGGGGGUUAUUUCCUAGACUCUUGAGGGAGGUUGAGGUAGGGAUAAACAAGAGUCUUGGAUAA
This is a long non-coding RNA of Chinchilla lanigera (long-tailed chinchilla), 685 nucleotides long. RefSeq lists it as uncharacterized. The record is from RefSeq and is a predicted model, not a curated record. Lineage: Eukaryota; Metazoa; Chordata; Mammalia; Rodentia; Chinchillidae. The transcript has 3 exons.